Molecule: ribosomal RNA, 253 nt
Filed under: uncultured bacterium
Lineage: Bacteria
Description: partial 16S ribosomal RNA
Rfam family: Bacterial small subunit ribosomal RNA
Source: RNAcentral
GACGAAGGAUGCAAGCGUUAUCCGGAUUCAUUGGGUUUAAAGGGUGCGCAGGCGGAUUAUUAAGUCAGGGGUGAAAUCCCACGGCUCAACCGUGGAACUGCCUUUGAUACUGAUAGUCUAGAGUAUAGUUGAAGUUGGCGGAAUGUGUCAUGUAGCGGUGAAAUGCUUAGAUAUGACACAGAACACCGAUCGCGAAGGCAGCUAGCUAAGCUAUAACUGACGCUCAUGCACGAAAGCGUGGGGAUCAAACAGG